UACGUAGGGGGCUAGCGUUGCUCGGAAUUACUGGGCGUAAAGGGCGCGUAGGCGGCCGAUCAAGUCGGAGGUGAAAGCCCAGGGCUCAACCCUGGAAUGGCCUUCGAUACUGGUUGGCUCGAGACCGGAAGAGGUAAGUGGAACUGCGAGUGUAGAGGUGAAAUUCGUAGAUAUUCGCAAGAACACCAGUGGCGAAGGCGGCUUACUGGUCCGGUUCUGACGCUGAGGCGCGAAAGCGUGGGGAGCAAACAGG
RNAcentral lists this ribosomal RNA (253 nucleotides) under uncultured bacterium. RNAcentral describes it as "partial 16S ribosomal RNA". It matches the Rfam family "Bacterial small subunit ribosomal RNA", at positions 524 to 776 of the family's 1533-position model. The record is from RNAcentral.